This 440-nucleotide ribosomal RNA is filed under the name uncultured bacterium. RNAcentral's name for it is "partial 16S ribosomal RNA". It matches the Rfam family "Bacterial small subunit ribosomal RNA", at positions 338 to 795 of the family's 1533-position model. The record is from RNAcentral.
CCUACGGGUGGCUGCAGUGGGGGAUAUUGCACAAUGGGGGAAACCCUGAUGCAGCGACGCCGCGUGUGGGAAGACGGUCCUCUGGAUUGUAAACCACUGUCCCCAGGGACGAAGAUGACGGUACCUGGGGAGGAAGCUCCGGCGAACGACGUGCCAGCAGCCGCGGUAAUACGUUGGGAGCAAGCGUUGUCCGGAAUUACUGGGUGUAAAGGGUGCGUAGGCGGGAUGGCAAGUUGGGUGUUAAAUCUACCGGCUAAACUGGUAGUCGAACUCAAAACUGCUAUUCUUGAGUGAAGUAGAGGCAGGCGGAAUUCCUAGUGUAGCGGUGAAAUGCGUAGAGAUUAGGAGGAACACCAGUGGCGAAGGCGGACUGCUGGGCUUUUACUGACGCUGAGGCUCGAAAGUGUGGGGAGCAAACAGGAUUAGAUACCCCAGUAGUC